This 709-nucleotide ribosomal RNA is filed under the name uncultured bacterium. RNAcentral describes it as "bacterial SSU rRNA". It matches the Rfam family "Bacterial small subunit ribosomal RNA", at positions 728 to 1462 of the family's 1533-position model. The record is from RNAcentral.
ACUGGCUCAUUGUUGACGCUAAGGCACGAAAGCGUGGGGAGCGACCGGGAUUAGAUACCCCGUUAGUCCACGCCGUAAAACGAUGGAUGCUAGCUGUAUAGAGUAUCGACCCUCUGUGUAGCGAAGCUAACGCGUUAAGCAUCCCGCCUGUGGAGUACGAGCGCAAGCUUAAAACAUAAAGGAAUUGACGGGGACCCGCACAAGCGGUGGAGCGUGUUCUUUAAUUCGAGGAUAAGCGAAGAACCUUACCCAGGUUUGACAUCCUGUGAAAUUCUGCGAAAGCAGAACGUGCCUUCGGGAACGCAGUGACAGGUGUUGCAUGGCCGUCGUCAGCUCGUGUCGUGAGAUGUUUGGUUAAGUCCAUCAACGAGCGCAACCCUUGUAAAUAGUUGAAUUUUUCUAUUUAGACUGCCCUGGUAACAGGGAGGAAGGAGGGGAUGAUGUCAGGUCAGUAUUACCCUUACAUCUGGGGCUAGAAACACGCUACAAUGGCCGGUACAAAGGGCAGCCAAGUCGCGAGACGGAGCAAAUCCCAUCAAAGCCGGUCCCAGUUCGGAUAGCAGGCUGAAACUCGCCUGCUUGAAGUCGGAAUCGCUAGUAACGGUGAGUCAGCACAUCACCGUGGAUACGUUCCCGGGUCUUGUACACACCGCCCGUCAAACCAUAAAAGUCGCCAAUGCCUGACGUCUUAGCUAGUCUAGGCCUAAGG